AGUGAACGCUGGCGGUAGGCCUAACACAUGCAAGUCGAACGGCAGCACAGUAAGAGCUUGCUCUUACGGGUGGCGAGUGGCGGACGGGUGAGGAAUACAUCGGAAUCUACUUUUUCGUGGGGGAUAACGUAGGGAAACUUACGCUAAUACCGCAUACGACCAACGGGUGAAAGCAGGGGAUCUUCGGACCUUGCGCGAUUGAAUGAGCCGAUGUCGGAUUAGCUAGUUGGCGGGGUAAAGGCCCACCAAGGCGACGAUCCGUAGCUGGUCUGAGAGGAUGAUCAGCCACACUGGAACUGAGACACGGUCCAGACUCCUACGGGAGGCAGCAGUGGGGAAUAUUGGACAAUGGGCGCAAGCCUGAUCCAGCCAUACCACGUGGGUGAAGAAGGCCUUCGGGUUGUAAAGCCCUUUUGUUGGGAAAGAAAAGCAGCAGGUUAAUACCCCGCUGUUCUGACGGUACCCAAAGAAUAAGCACCGGCUAACUUCGUG
Molecule: ribosomal RNA, 492 nt
Filed under: uncultured bacterium
Lineage: Bacteria
Description: partial 16S ribosomal RNA
Rfam family: Bacterial small subunit ribosomal RNA
Source: RNAcentral